This 81-nucleotide transfer RNA is filed under the name Pseudonocardiales bacterium. Its description in RNAcentral is "tRNA-OTHER". The record is from RNAcentral. Lineage: Bacteria; Bacillati; Actinomycetota; Actinomycetes; Pseudonocardiales.
GGCAAGUCGUUGACGCUCGUGUAAAGCGGUCUGUAAAUCCGUCGGCGUACGCCUACCAAGGUUCGAAUCCUUGACCCGCCA